RNAcentral lists this small nuclear RNA (179 nucleotides) under Felis catus (domestic cat). RNAcentral's name for it is "U4 spliceosomal RNA (ENSFCAG00000036172.3, ENSFCTG00005025904.1)". The stretch from base 1 to 130 matches the Rfam family "U4 spliceosomal RNA". From Rfam's summary of the family: U4 small nuclear RNA (U4 snRNA) is a component of the major U2-dependent spliceosome. The structure of U4 snRNA from yeast and human has been reported. U4 snRNA presents a k-turn RNA motif in the 5p-SL related to recognition of Snu13 protein. Lineage: Eukaryota; Metazoa; Chordata; Mammalia; Carnivora; Felidae. The record is from RNAcentral.
AACUUUGCCACAGUGGCAGUAUCGUAGCCAAUGAGGCUUAUCUGAAGCGUGAUUAUUGCUAAUUGAAAGCUUUUCAUAGAUCAAAGAUGUUUUUGAUGGAUCGCAGUUCGCUAAGAACUUUUAUCAAGAAGGGAUGUUGGUUAGAAUGUAUUUUAAUAUGUGCAGGUAUAUUACGUAUA